UUGGGGCUCACAGACUCCGCGGACGCUUUCCAGGCCCUGCGACCUCGCAGAAUUCUGACUCGUCGUCGCCUGGCGCCGCACAGGGUCCGCUGGAGGUUGCGUCGGAAAACGCUAGACGCGAACAUUCUGCCAUUCCGAGGCCGCCGGCUCCAGCUGAGGGGGCCGCGGGCCCGGGCGGGCUCACUGUCCCGCGGCAGCCAACGACUGGUGGGCCGUGGGCCGUGGGGCCGGGCCCCCGAGUGCUGCGGGGAGCCGAAGGCCCAGUCAGUCCUGGGGGAGGGGAGAGCUCAGUCUUUCUAGGGGCUCUGUUAUUUGUGACCACAAUGAAAAAUUUAGACAGUGAUGAUAUCCUAACUGACAAGCAUCCUAAGCCCAAGAGCUCGAAAGAAUGGUUGGAACCACAGCCACUUCAUUUUAUGGAGGUAUUAGCUAAAGAAGAUAUUGAUGCAGCUAUUCAAUCGAUAUUAUAUAGAGAAAAUUAUGUAAUUAAGGAACUAGAUAAAUAUUUGCAACAUCAUGAGUUCUUAAAUGCAAGAAGAAAGGAGAGGUUGUAUAAAAGAUGGACUGACCAUGUGGCAGAUCCUCUCCAGAAGAAAAUUAUAGAAAAAGUUUGUUCACAUAAGAAGAUUAAUAAAAGGAGACAAGAGGAAUUAGGUGGUUUUUUAAAACAUGUAAAUAAAAAGGGAAAUGUAUUUAUAGAGCAUUAUGAUCCGAAAGAGUAUGAUCCUUUUUAUAUGAGCAAAAAGGACCCGAAUUUUCUGAAGGUUAUCGUUCCACCAUUUCGUGAUCCUUUGAAAAAGGCACAAUAUGACAAAGAUAACGAGAAAAGAACUCUUCUUCAGUGUGAGACUGGCAAAAUAUGUACAAUGAAAGAAUUUAAAGAGGUUGAGAACGCCAAACAGCAGUCCAGAUUUCCAAGAAUUUCUAGUUCGAGGCACUUUAUGACUCCAAAUAAGUGGCUUAUGCUGCCUACAACCUAUAUAGAAAGUGAAUUUUGUAAAAGGAGCAGGUUAAAAGUGAAAGUGAAUUUUAACGAUGGUAAUUUUGAUUUGAAACCCAUGGCAAGAGCUCCUCAUCCUCUGGAAUCUCAGAAGAAGGAAAAGCAGUUAUUUACAAAUCAUCCUUUCUGGUAAAAAAAGCCUCUAAGUACUCAUGAGAGAAAAGAAUCUAAGUCCCAAAGAGGCCAACUGUGAAGGGCCCUUUUUUCCGUGGCCCUCAGCCAAGAAAGAAAGGGAAGAGCACCAGGAUGUGGUUUUAGCAACCAAGGAGCACACACCUUGACCUUGAUUGGUAAGAGGAAACAAAUGAUUCAGAGAAGCCACUUGCCAGCAGGAUUCAUUCAGGUUGAGGACCAAGGAAGGCACUAAGCACCUCCAAUAAACUUCACUAAAGUUCAGUGUCUGCAUGAUAAUUAAGAAAUCACAAUACCUUGUGUUGACAAUUAUUACAAAUGUAUGUUCCCUAGAAGUUAAUUAUUGCCUGAAAGAGCCAAUAAAAAUAAUGAUAGCUGUGGCGCCUGGGUGGCUCAGUUGGUUAAGCCUCUGACUUCU
RNA transcript from Hyaena hyaena (striped hyena), 1550 nucleotides. It is a transcript of the gene named family with sequence similarity 228 member B, with no coding region annotated. The transcript is spliced from 10 exons. Lineage: Eukaryota; Metazoa; Chordata; Mammalia; Carnivora; Hyaenidae. The record is from RefSeq and is a predicted model, not a curated record.